RNAcentral lists this ribosomal RNA (406 nucleotides) under uncultured bacterium. RNAcentral's name for it is "bacterial SSU rRNA". It matches the Rfam family "Bacterial small subunit ribosomal RNA", at positions 976 to 1380 of the family's 1533-position model. The record is from RNAcentral.
AGCUUUUGACAUCCUGAUCGCGGAUUAGAGAGAUCUUUUCCUUCAGUUCGGCUGGAUCAGUGACAGGUGCUGCAUGGCUGUCGUCAGCUCGUGUCGUGAGAUGUUGGGUUAAGUCCCGCAACGAGCGCAACCCUCAUCCUUAGUUGCCACCAUUUAGUUGGGCACUCUAAGGAAACUGCCGGUGAUAAGCCGGAGGAAGGUGGGGAUGACGUCAAGUCCUCAUGGCCCUUACAAGCUGGGCUACACACGUGCUACAAUGGCGAUGACAGUGGGCAGCUACUUCGCAAGAAGAUGCUAAUCUCUAAAAGUCGUCUCAGUUCGGAUUGGACUCUGCAACUCGAGUCCAUGAAGGCGGAAUCGCUAGUAAUCGCGGAUCAGCAUGCCGCGGUGAAUACGUUCCCAGGCC